GGGACUCCUACGGGAGGCAGCAGUGGGGAAUUUUGGACAAUGGGGGCAACCCUGAUCCAGCCAUGCCGCGUGAGUGAAGAAGGCCUUCGGGUUGUAAAGCUCUUUCAGUCGGAACGAAACGGUUCGCUCUAACAUAGCGUGCUAAUGACGGUACUGACAGAAGAAGCACCGGCUAACUACGUGCCAGCAGCCGCGGUAAU
RNAcentral lists this ribosomal RNA (200 nucleotides) under uncultured beta proteobacterium. RNAcentral's name for it is "partial 16S ribosomal RNA". It matches the Rfam family "Bacterial small subunit ribosomal RNA", at positions 332 to 524 of the family's 1533-position model. Lineage: Bacteria; Pseudomonadati; Pseudomonadota; Betaproteobacteria. The record is from RNAcentral.